GACGAACGCUGGCGGCGUGCUUAACACAUGCAAGUCGAACGGAAAGGCCCUGCUUUUGUGGGGUGCUCGAGUGGCGAACGGGUGAGUAACACGUGAGUAACCUGCCCUUGACUUUGGGAUAACUUCAGGAAACUGGGGCUAAUACCGGAUAGGAGCUCCUGCUGCAUGGUGGGUGUUGGAAAGUUUCGGCGGUUGGGGAUGGACUCGCGGCUUAUCAGCUUGUUGGUGGGGUUGUGGCUUACCAAGGCUUUGACGGGUAGCCGGCCUGAGAGGGUGACCGGCCACAUUGGGACUGAGAUACGGCCCAGACUCCUACGGGAGGCAGCAGUGGGGAAUAUUGCACAAUGGGCGGAAGCCUGAUGCAGCAACGCCGCGUGCGGGAUGACGGCCUUCGGGUUGUAAACCGCUUUCGCCUGUGACGAAGCGUGAGUGACGGUAAUGGGUAAAGAAGCACCGGCUAACUACGUG
Molecule: ribosomal RNA, 468 nt
Filed under: uncultured bacterium
Lineage: Bacteria
Description: partial 16S ribosomal RNA
Rfam family: Bacterial small subunit ribosomal RNA
Source: RNAcentral